RNAcentral lists this ribosomal RNA (425 nucleotides) under uncultured bacterium. RNAcentral's name for it is "bacterial SSU rRNA". It matches the Rfam family "Bacterial small subunit ribosomal RNA", at positions 358 to 773 of the family's 1533-position model. The record is from RNAcentral.
GGAAUAUUGCGCAAUGGGCGAAAGCCUGACGCAGCGACGCCGCGUGGGGGAGGAAGGCCUUAGGGUCGUAAACCCCUUCCAGAUGGGACGAACCGUAGAUCGGCGAAUCCCUGAUCUGCCUGACGGUACCAUCAGAGGACGCUCCGGCUAACGCCGUGCCAGCAGCCGCGGUAAUACGGAGGGGGCGAGCGUUGUUCGGAAUUCCUGGGCGUAAAGGGCGCGUAGGCGGCCGUGUAAGUCGGAUGUGAAAGGCCGGGGCUCAACUCCGUGCAUUGCAUCCGAUACUGUAUGGCUGGAGAAAGGUAGAGGCGAGCGGAAUUCCCGGUGUAGCGGUGGAAUGCGUAGAUAUCGGGAAGAACACCCGUGGCGAAGGCGGCUCGCUGGGCCCUUUCUGACGCUGAAGCGCGAAAGCGUGGGGAGCAAAC